AAGGAUCAUUUCUGAAUAGGCUUAACCGCCAGACACAGUGAAACGCCUUUAACGAGGCAUUUCUUGGGCUGCUGCUUGCAGUGGCCCAACGUUUUACAAACUUAUAGUUAUUACUUCUGAACCAUGAAAUUUAAAACUUUCAACAACGGAUCUCUUGGUUCUCGCAUCGAUGAAGAACGCAGCAAAGCGCGAUAGGUAAUGCGAAUUGCAGACGUGAGUCAUUGAAUCUUUGAACGCACAUUGCGCUACUAGGUUCUCCUAGUAGCAUGCUUGUUGGAGCGGCGAUCUUCCUCCAUUAUGGGUUUUGCUUCUUUUAGAAGUCAAAUGGAUGAAAGUGCACACGUUAGUUAACUCUGUGUACUACAGAUCAACUUUUAGCCCCCCAAUCAAGUAAGACUACCCGCUGAACUUAAGCAUAUCAAUAAGCGGAGGAA
RNAcentral lists this unclassified non-coding RNA (434 nucleotides) under Starmerella sirachaensis. RNAcentral describes it as "Starmerella sp. 'sirachaensis' partial contains ITS1, 5.8S rRNA and ITS2". The stretch from base 135 to 284 matches the Rfam family "5.8S ribosomal RNA". The record is from RNAcentral. Lineage: Eukaryota; Fungi; Ascomycota; Dipodascomycetes; Dipodascales; Trichomonascaceae.